Molecule: non-coding RNA, 583 nt
Organism: Petromyzon marinus (sea lamprey)
Lineage: Eukaryota; Metazoa; Chordata; Hyperoartia; Petromyzontiformes; Petromyzontidae
Source: RefSeq, a predicted model, not a curated record
GUCAUGACACGAGACGGAGGAAUUCCCUUUCGAGACGCUCACAGCAAUGCACGUAACAAUGGCACGUCUUAUCAAUCAUGGUGCGUGACGUCAUUUAUGAACGGCCCCAAACAAUACAAACACAGGGUUUGCGUGCGGGCGAAGGCGGCGUGGCAUGGGCAGAGGUGAUGGUGGUGGUGGUCUGGUGCGCUGGCUACCGUCGGAAGUAGAGGAGGAAGUUGACCCAGGCGAGGAACACGGCCACGGCCCCCGCCGACCAGGUCCACGCCUCCGCGUUGCCCGUCAUCAUGGGCACGACGAACACGACGCAGGAGCUGUACAGCACCCACUCCAGCAGGAAACCAUUGAACUCGGAGGAAGCUCAUGCACGAACGGCGGGGAGAACAUGACAAACUCCAGACAGAAAGCGGGCCGGGGUCGGGAAUCGAACCCAGGUCCUUAUUUUGUUGCUGUGAGACACAAGCGUUACCACUGCGUCAUCCUGCCGCACAGAUAUGCCCCUCCGCUGCAAUGUAUGUGUGUAUGCAUGUUUAACUUCUUUCGUACCGUACGUAGCCAACCGCGCUAACCGGAGGUGUGGGCG